AAGUCGUAACAAGGUUUCCGUAGGUGAACCUGCGGAAGGAUCAUUGCUGAUGCCGGCGGCAUGCGGUCGAUCCCUCGCGAGGGGGUGAGGCCGCUGCCGCUUUCAACAUCAUCUGCCCCUUUGUGAACCCGGCACCGGAGCGCCGUCGUGGCGAGCGAGCUUUGGGGCCCGCUUCGUCCUGGUCUCCUCUGCCCAAACAACCUGUCUUUUAUUGCCUGUCUCCCCAGACUGAAGCAACAAAAACAAAAACAUAUCUUACAACUUUUAACAAUGGAUAUCUUGGCUCGC
RNAcentral lists this unclassified non-coding RNA (288 nucleotides) under fungal sp. Its description in RNAcentral is "partial internal transcribed spacer region". The stretch from base 1 to 46 matches the Rfam family "Eukaryotic small subunit ribosomal RNA", at positions 1786 to 1831 of the family's 1831-position model. Lineage: Eukaryota; Fungi. The record is from RNAcentral.